UGCAAGUCGAACGGUGACGACCAGCUUUGCUGGUCUGAUCAGUGGCGAACGGGUGNANAUAACACGUGAGCAACCUGCCCCUGACUCUGGGAUAACGACCGGAAACGGUCGCUAAUACCGGAUAUGAGACGUACAGGCAUCUGUUGCGUCUGGAAAGUUUUUCGGUCAGGGAUGGGCUCGCGGCCUAUCAGCUUGUUGGUGGGGUAACGGCCUACCAAGGCGACGACGGGUAGCCGGCCUGAGAGGGCGACCGGCCACACUGGGACUGAGACACGGCCCAGACUCCUACGGGAGGCAGCAGUGGGGAAUAUUGCACAAUGGGCGCAAGCCUGAUGCAGCGACGCCGCGUGAGGGAUGACGGCCUUCGGGUUGUAAACCUCUUUCAGCAGGGAAGAAGCGCAAGUGACGGUACCUGCAGAAGAAGCGCCGGCUAACUACGUGCCAGCAGCCGCGGUAAUACGUAGGGCGCAAGCGUUGUCCGGAAUUAUUGGGCGUAAAGAGCUCGUAGGCGGUUUGUCGCGUCUGCUGUGAAAACCUCAGGCUCAACCUGGGGCUUGCAGUGGGUACGGGCAGACUAGAGUGCGGUAGGGGUGACUGGAAUUCCUGGUGUAGCGGUGGAAUGCGCAGAUAUCAGGAGGAACACCGAUGGCGAAGGCAGGUCACUGGGCCGCAACUGACGCUGAGGAGCGAAAGCAUGGGGAGCGAACAGGAUUAGAUACCCUGGUAGUCCAUGCCGUAAACGUUGGGCACUAGGUGUGGGGCUCAUUCCACGAGCUCUGUGCCGCAGCAAACGCAUUAAGUGCCCCGCCUGGGGAGUACGGCCGCAAGGCUAAAACUCAAAGAAAUUGACGGGGGCCCGCACAAGCGGCGGA
This 872-nucleotide ribosomal RNA is filed under the name Cellulomonas sp. VC-CS10. RNAcentral's name for it is "bacterial SSU rRNA". It matches the Rfam family "Bacterial small subunit ribosomal RNA", at positions 56 to 936 of the family's 1533-position model. Lineage: Bacteria; Bacillati; Actinomycetota; Actinomycetes; Micrococcales; Cellulomonadaceae. The record is from RNAcentral.